RNAcentral lists this ribosomal RNA (509 nucleotides) under uncultured Glomus. RNAcentral's name for it is "SSU rRNA". It matches the Rfam family "Eukaryotic small subunit ribosomal RNA", at positions 569 to 1081 of the family's 1831-position model. The record is from RNAcentral. Lineage: Eukaryota; Fungi; Glomeromycota; Glomeromycetes; Glomerales; Glomeraceae.
CGCAGCCGCGGUAAUUCCAGCUCCAAUAGCGUAUAUUAAAGUUGUUGCAGUUAAAAAGCUCGUAGUUGAAUUUUGGGAUCAAUAUGCCGGUCAUGCCUUGGUAUGCACUGGUAUCUUUGAUUUCUCCCUUCUGACGAACUUUGAUGUCAUUAAUUUGGCGUCAUAGGGAAUCGGGACUGUUACUUUGAAAAAAUUAGAGUGUUUAAAGCAGGCUCACGCUUGAAUACAUUAGCAUGGAAUAAUGAAAUAGGACGUUUGGUUCUAUUUUGUUGGUUUCUAGGAUCGACGUAAUGAUUAAUAGGGAUAGUUGGGGGCAUUAGUAUUCAAUUGUCAGAGGUGAAAUUCUUGGAUUUAUUGAAGACUAACUACUGCGAAAGCAUUUGCCAAGGAUGUUUUCAUUAAUCAAGAACGAAAGUUAGGGGAUCGAAGACGAUCAGAUACCGUCGUAGUCUUAACCAUAAACUAUGCCGACUAGGGAUCGGAUGAUGUUAAUUUUUAAUGACUCAUUC